UACGUAGGGGGCAAGCGUUAUCCGGAUUUACUGGGUGUAAAGGGAGCGUAGACGGUAUGGCAAGUCAGAUGUGAAAGCCCAGGGCUCAACCCUGGGACUGCAUUUGAAACUGUCAAACUAGAGUGUCGGAGAGGUAAGUGGAAUUCCUAGUGUAGCGGUGAAAUGCGUAGAUAUUAGGAGGAACACCAGUGGCGAAGGCGGCUUACUGGACGAUCACUGACGUUGAGGCUCGAAAGCGUGGGGAGCAAACAGG
Molecule: ribosomal RNA, 253 nt
Filed under: uncultured bacterium
Lineage: Bacteria
Also listed under: 1 other name
Description: partial 16S ribosomal RNA
Rfam family: Bacterial small subunit ribosomal RNA
Source: RNAcentral